CCUACGGGAGGCAGCAGUAGGGAAUAUUGCACAAUGGGGGAAACCCUGAAGCAGCAACGCCGCGUGGAGGAUGAAGGUUUUCGGAUUGUAAACUCCUUUUGUUAGAGAAGAUAAUGACGGUAUCUAACGAAUAAGAACCGGCUAACUUCGUGCCAGCAGCAGCGGUAAUACGGAGGGUGCAAGCGUUACUCGGAAUCACUGGGCGUAAAGAGCGCGUAGGCGGGUUAGGAAGUCAGAUGUGAAUUCCUAUGGCUUAACCAUAGAACUGAAGUUGAAACUGUUAUUCUAGAGUAUUGGAGAGGUAGGUGGAAUUCUUGGUGUAGGGGUAAAAUCCGUAGAGAUCAAGAGGAAUACUCAUUGCGAAGGCGACCUGCUAGAACAUUACUGACGCUGAUGCGCGAAAGCGUGGGGAGCGAACAGGAUUAGAUACCCGAGUAGUC
RNAcentral lists this ribosomal RNA (440 nucleotides) under uncultured bacterium. RNAcentral describes it as "partial 16S ribosomal RNA". It matches the Rfam family "Bacterial small subunit ribosomal RNA", at positions 338 to 795 of the family's 1533-position model. The record is from RNAcentral.